Molecule: non-coding RNA, 48 nt
Organism: Schistosoma mattheei
Lineage: Eukaryota; Metazoa; Platyhelminthes; Trematoda; Strigeidida; Schistosomatidae
Source: Rfam
AUCCUGCUGACGAGUCCCGAAUAGGACGAAACGCGCGUCAAACUGGAU